Bactrocera oleae (olive fruit fly) is the source of this 368-nucleotide long non-coding RNA. RefSeq lists it as uncharacterized. Lineage: Eukaryota; Metazoa; Arthropoda; Insecta; Diptera; Tephritidae. The record is from RefSeq and is a predicted model, not a curated record.
CAUAAGCGCAUUUUUCAUUUAGUAAAUAAACUAGACGCAUUUUGUUGAUUUUCUGCUUGUUUUUGUUAUAGGCAAAUAAUUAAUCAGAUUCACUGCUGCUUAUGGGUCUAGGUUAAUAGCAAUGACUGUUGAAUUGUGGACUCAUUCACACAAAUAUCUGGUAUAUAUGUACAUAUGUAGUAUGCAUGUUGCUUGGCCACAAGCUGAUAAAGUGUCAAUAAUUUUACAUAAGCUUUAUUGGCAUUUGAACAAAAACAAUUGAUAUGAGUGUAAUAAACAAAUAACACAUCAUAUUUUUUUACUUGAGUGAUGUAUUGCUAAUGGAAAUAUAAUCGUGGAUCAUAAAGAGGCUUGUGUCAUAGCCCUAA